AGGUGAAAAGAACCCCGGAAGGGGAGUGAAAUAGAAUCUGAAACCGUGUGCCUACAAUCGGUCGGAGCACAUUAAAGUGUGACGGCGUACUUUUUGUAGCACGGGCCAGCGAGUUACGAUAUAUAGCGAGGUUAAGCACUUAUGGUGUGGAGCCGAAGGGAAACCGAGUCUGAAUAGGGCAACUAGUUGUAUAUUGUAGACCCGAAACCGGGUGACCUAUCCAUGGCCAGGAUGAAGCGGAAGUAAAAUUCCGUGGAGGUCCGAACCACGUUGGUGUUGAAAAACCAUGGGAUGAGCUGUGGAUAGCGGAGAAAUUCCAAUCGAACUCGGAGAUAGCUGGUUCUCCUCGAAAUAGCUUUAGGGCUAGCGUCGGGUAAUUGAGUAGUGGAGGUAGAGCACUGAAUGGGCUAGGGGCUGACAACAGUUACUGAACCCUAUCAAACUCCGAAUGCCAUAUACUUGUACCCCGGCAGUCAGACUACGAAUGAUAAGAUCCGUGGUCAAAAGGG
Molecule: ribosomal RNA, 509 nt
Filed under: Clostridium botulinum C/D
Lineage: Bacteria; Bacillati; Bacillota; Clostridia; Eubacteriales; Clostridiaceae
Description: partial 23S ribosomal RNA
Rfam family: Bacterial large subunit ribosomal RNA
Source: RNAcentral